Molecule: ribosomal RNA, 254 nt
Filed under: uncultured bacterium
Lineage: Bacteria
Description: partial 16S ribosomal RNA
Rfam family: Bacterial small subunit ribosomal RNA
Source: RNAcentral
UACGUAGGUGACAAGCGUUGUCCGGAUUUACUGGGCGUAAAGGGCGCGUAGGCGGCCUCUGCAAGUCGACUGUGAAAUCUCCGGGCUUAACCCGGAAAGGUCAGCCGAUACUGCAGGGCUAGAGUGCAGAAGGGGCAACUGGAAUUCUCGGUGUAGCGGUGAAAUGCGUAGAUAUCGAGAGGAACACCUGCGGCGAAGGCGGGUUGCUGGGCUGACACUGACGCUGAGGCGCGAAAGCUAGGGGAGCGAACGGG